This 253-nucleotide ribosomal RNA is filed under the name uncultured bacterium. Its description in RNAcentral is "partial 16S ribosomal RNA". It matches the Rfam family "Bacterial small subunit ribosomal RNA", at positions 524 to 776 of the family's 1533-position model. The record is from RNAcentral.
UACGAAGGGGGCUAGCGUUGCUCGGAAUUACUGGGCGUAAAGCGCACGUAGGCGGAUUGUUAAGUCGGAUGUGAAAUCCCCAGGCUCAACUUGGGAACUGCAUCCGAUACUGGAUGGCUUGAAUUCGGGAGAGGGAUGCAGAAUUCCUGGUGUAGCGGUGAAAUGCGCAGAUAUCAGGAGGAACACCAAUGGCGAAGGCAGCUCGCUGGGACGUGACUGACGCUGAGACGCGAAAGCGUGGGGAGCAAACAGG